AAUGGGCGUCAAGCCUGAUGCAGUCCAUGCCGCGUGUAUGAAGUAAGGCCUUCGGGUUGUAAAGUACUUUCAGCAGUGAGGAAGGUGGAUGCGUUAAUAGCGUAUUCAUUUGACGUUAGCUGCAGAAGAAGCACCGGCUAACUCCGUGCCAGCAGCCGCGGUAAUACGGAGGGUGCGAGCGUUAAUCGGAAUUACUGGGCGUAAAGCGCAUGCAGGUGGUUUGUUAAGUCAGAUGUGAAAGCCCGGGGCUUAACCUCGGAAUUGCAUUUGAAACUGGCAGGCUAGAGUCUUGUAGAGGGGGUAGAAUUUCAGGUGUAGCGGUGAAAUGCGUAGAGAUCUGAAGGAAUACCAGUGGCGAAGGCGGCCCCCUGGACAAAGACUGACGCUCAGAUGCGAAAGCGUGGGGAGCAAACAGGAUUAGAUACCCUGGUAG
RNAcentral lists this ribosomal RNA (433 nucleotides) under uncultured bacterium. RNAcentral's name for it is "bacterial SSU rRNA". It matches the Rfam family "Bacterial small subunit ribosomal RNA", at positions 370 to 793 of the family's 1533-position model. The record is from RNAcentral.